RNAcentral lists this transfer RNA (73 nucleotides) under Ovis aries (sheep). It matches the Rfam family "tRNA". Rfam says of the family: Transfer RNA (tRNA) molecules are approximately 80 nucleotides in length. Their secondary structure includes four short double-helical elements and three loops (D, anti-codon, and T loops). Lineage: Eukaryota; Metazoa; Chordata; Mammalia; Artiodactyla; Bovidae. The record is from Rfam by way of RNAcentral.
UCCUUGGUGGUCCAGUGGUUAAGACUCCAUGCUUUCAAUGCAGAGGGCAUGGGUUCAAUCCCUAGUCAGGGAA